This 66-nucleotide transfer RNA is filed under the name Trigonopterus sp. 2 AH-2016. RNAcentral's name for it is "tRNA-Ser". The record is from RNAcentral. Lineage: Eukaryota; Metazoa; Arthropoda; Insecta; Coleoptera; Curculionidae.
AGUUGGUGAGCUUGUAAAAGCAUGUGUUUUGAAAACACAAGAAAGAGAAAUAAUCUCUAUUAACUU